CUCUUGUUUUAUGAGUUGUGAACAUUUUAUUCAUGUUGUAGUAUGUUAAUAUGGAGGAAAUUGGUGAAAUAUUGUAUGUUGGAAGUGGGUUGUGUAAUGGGUGUGUCAGCCGUGGGAGGUGUGUGUGUUGUGUGGUAUUGAGUUGAUGAAUUAGUUUCAUGUAGCAUGUUUGAUUGUUGUAGGGUGAAGAAAUAAAUUAGAACCAUCUAAAUGUGUAUAUGGGUGUAUGGCCGUGUAUAUAGCCUCCAAUUUGUAGCAAAGAAUGAGUUAAUAUCGCUUGGUGUUUUAGUUGUUGUCGUUAUGAAUUCUAGUUUGGAAAUGAAAGUUUAAUGUCCCAAAAUGAUAUGGUGAAUUGUUGCGGGCUGAUUUGAGGCUUAUUGUGCAUUUGAUGAAAUUUGUAUAUUUAUGGAAAUGAUAUCGUUAUAGUAGGGAUUAUUGGUGCAAAACAUGAUCCGAAAGUCGGAAGGUGUGUUAUAGUGAGGUUCUCGGUUUAGGGGCUGUUUUCGGCCAAGUUGGAGAAAAUGUGGGAUUGUUGGAAAUAUUAUGUAAAUUGUUUAAAGUGUUAUUGAAUGUUGUUAGUAUGGGUUUGGGUUAGUAUUUGAAUGUAUAAGUGUUGAGGUUGGCUUGAAAGUAAGCCGUUGAUUUGAAUAUUUGGAAAGUAGUUGAAUGAUGUAAAAGAGAGUUACUAUUGCUAUAUUGCCUUUCGAAUUGGUUAUCGAUGUUGCUAGGUUGGUUAUUGUUGUUGUUGUUGUUGAUAUUGGACGAGUUAAAUUCUCGGGUUGGCCUAUUUACAGGGGAAAUGCUGCCCAAAUUUCUGUAGAAUUUAGAAUUAGUUUGGGAUAAAUGGCUUAAGUACCUAUGGCUAAUGUUUGAUAUUCAUUGGCGUAUUUGUAGACCUUGGGGAGCCCGAGGCAUAGAUUGGGAUUAACUUUAGAUUGGCUAGCUUGGAGUGCGUACGAGGUACAGACGCACAGUUUGGUGAUCCACCAGUUUAGGACACCCUCUUUUGCUGUUCGGAGUGCUCUUCUCAUUUCAGAGCCUACAUUUUGGUAUAUAUGUUCGUUUGUUACAUAUGUAUAUAUUUGGUUCAGGGGUACGGCGGGGCCCUGUCCCGCCAUAUGUUUUUGUGGUCUGUUUAGAGGUCUGUAGAUGUAUUUGUGGGUGUGUGUGCCUACUUCUGUUCGGAUGUGUCUGUAUAAUCCUAUUCGCUAUGGCAGCCUUGUCG
Lycium ferocissimum is the source of this 1225-nucleotide long non-coding RNA. RefSeq lists it as uncharacterized. The record is from RefSeq and is a predicted model, not a curated record. NCBI's taxonomy places the organism in Eukaryota, Viridiplantae, Streptophyta, Magnoliopsida, Solanales, Solanaceae. The transcript has 2 exons.